RNAcentral lists this non-coding RNA (32 nucleotides) under Homo sapiens (human). The record is from RNAcentral. Lineage: Eukaryota; Metazoa; Chordata; Mammalia; Primates; Hominidae.
GCUGGGUUUGGACACUGAGUGCCACCACGUGC